Molecule: ribosomal RNA, 673 nt
Filed under: Pseudovibrio sp.
Lineage: Bacteria; Pseudomonadati; Pseudomonadota; Alphaproteobacteria; Hyphomicrobiales; Stappiaceae
Description: bacterial SSU rRNA
Rfam family: Bacterial small subunit ribosomal RNA
Source: RNAcentral
UCAGAUYGAACGCUGGCGGCAGGCCUAACACAUGCAAGUCGAACGGAUCCUUCGGGAUUAGUGGCAGACGGGUGAGUAACGCGUGGGAAGCUACCUUGUGGUAGGGAACAACAGUUGGAAACGACUGCUAAUACCCUAUGAGCCCUAUGGGGGAAAGAUUUAUCGCCAUGAGAUGUGCCCGCGUUAGAUUAGCUAGUUGGUAAGGUAAUGGCUUACCAAGGCGACGAUCUAUAGCUGGUCUGAGAGGAUGAUCAGCCACACUGGGACUGAGACACGGCCCAGACUCCUACGGGAGGCAGCAGUGGGGAAUAUUGGACAAUGGGGGCAACCCUGAUCCAGCCAUGCCGCGUGAGUGAUGACGGCCUUAGGGUUGUAAAGCUCUUUCAGCAGUGAAGAUAAUGACAUUAACUGCAGAAGAAGCCCCGGCUAACUUCGUGCCAGCAGCCGCGGUAAUACGAAGGGGGCUAGCGUUGUUCGGAAUCACUGGGCGUAAAGCGUACGUAGGCGGACUGAUCAGUCAGGGGUGAAAUCCCGGGGCUCAACCCCGGAACUGCCUUUGAUACUGUCAGUCUUGAGAUCGAGAGAGGUGAGUGGAACUCCGAGUGUAGAGGUGAAAUUCGUAGAUAUUCGGAAGAACACCAGUGGCGAAGGCGGCUCACUGGCUCGAUACUGA